CGCGAGGUAGAGGAGUAGGCAGCUCCUCGCACUCAUAACCCGAAGGUUGCAGGUUCGAGUCCUGCUUCCGCUA
RNAcentral lists this transfer RNA (73 nucleotides) under Aquimarina spongiae. RNAcentral describes it as "Flavobacteriaceae bacterium A6 tRNA". It matches the Rfam family "tRNA". From Rfam's summary of the family: Transfer RNA (tRNA) molecules are approximately 80 nucleotides in length. Their secondary structure includes four short double-helical elements and three loops (D, anti-codon, and T loops). The record is from Rfam by way of RNAcentral. Lineage: Bacteria; Pseudomonadati; Bacteroidota; Flavobacteriia; Flavobacteriales; Flavobacteriaceae.